GACGAACGCUGGCGGCGUGCUUAACACAUGCAAGUCGAACGGAAAGGCCCUGCUUUUGUGGGUUGCUCGAUUGGCGAACGGGUGAGUAACACGUGAGUAACCUGCCCUUGACUUUGGGAUAACUUCAGGAAACUGGGGCUAAUACCGGAUAGGAUCUCCUGCUGCAUGGUGGGGGUUGGAAAGUUUCGGCGGUUGGGGAUGGAAUCGCGGCUUAUCAGCUUGUUGGUGGGGUAGUGGCUUACCAAGGCUUUGACGGGUAGCCGGCCUGAGAGGGUGACCGGCCACAUUGGGACUGAGAUAGGGACCAGAAUCCUACGGGAGGCAGCAGGGGAGAAUAUUGCACAAUGGGCGGAAGCCAGAUGCAGAAACGCCGCGUGCGGGAUGACGGCCUUCGGGGUGUAAACCGAUUUCGCCUGUGACGAAGAGUGAGUGACGGUAAUGGGUAAAGAAGCACCGGCUAACUACGUG
RNAcentral lists this ribosomal RNA (468 nucleotides) under uncultured bacterium. Its description in RNAcentral is "partial 16S ribosomal RNA". It matches the Rfam family "Bacterial small subunit ribosomal RNA", at positions 28 to 507 of the family's 1533-position model. The record is from RNAcentral.